This 497-nucleotide ribosomal RNA is filed under the name uncultured bacterium. RNAcentral's name for it is "partial 16S ribosomal RNA". It matches the Rfam family "Bacterial small subunit ribosomal RNA", at positions 28 to 507 of the family's 1533-position model. The record is from RNAcentral.
GAUGAACGCUGGCGGCGUGCCUAAUACAUGCAAGUCGAGCGAACGGACGAGAAGCUUGCUUCUCUGAUGUUAGCGGCGGACGGGUGAGUAACACGUGGAUAACCUACCUAUAAGACUGGGAUAACUUCGGGAAACCGGAGCUAAUACCGGAUAAUAUUUUGAACCGCAUGGUUCAAAAGUGAAAGACGGUCUUGCUGUCACUUAUAGAUGGAUCCGCGCUGCAUUAGCUAGUUGGUAAGGUAACGGCUUACCAAGGCAACGAUGCAUAGCCGACCUGAGAGGGUGAUCGGCCACACUGGAACUGAGACACGGUCCAGACUCCUACGGGAGGCAGCAGUAGGGAAUCUUCCGCAAUGGGCGAAAGCCUGACGGAGCAACGCCGCGUGAGUGAUGAAGGUCUUCGGAUCGUAAAACUCUGUUAGUAGGGAAGAACAUAUGUGUAAGUAACUGUGCACGUCUUGACGGUACCUAAUCAGAAAGCCACGGCUAACUACGUG